GGAAGUGGGUAACGACUCGGAAAUUCGUUUGCUUUGCUUCACAAGUCGAGAGAGAGAUUCCAGGUUGAAGCUUUUGCGGUAGAAACCAUGAGGAUCGUGCGUAAAGACUAUGUCCGUAAUGGACCCGGAAGCGUUAAGAUGGUGCCGGUUGAUUCGGAUGAUUUGUGGUUUGCUUAUAAUCUGAUUGCUCCUGGAGAUUCAGUUAUGGCCGCCACUGUCAGGAAGGUACUGAGAGAAGCGGCUUCUGGAGGUAGAGAUGCCGAGCGAAUUAAGCUGAAGUUGGAGAUAACAGUCGAGGCUGUGGAUUAUGAUAAAGUGGGGUCUGUCUUGCGUAUUCGUGGAAAGAACAUUCUUGAGAAUGAAUACGUAAAGAUGGGUGCAUUCCACACUUUAGAACUUGAGCUGAAUCGGCCAUUCGUGUUGAGAAAGAAGGUCUGGGAUUCACUUGCAUUAGAUGUACUCCAUCAGGCCUCUGACCCUGGAGCAAGUGCUGAUCUUGCUGUGAUUUUGAUGCAAGAAGGAUUGGCACAUAUCUUCCUUAUUGGUAGAAGCAUGACAACUACUCGUUCUCGGAUAGAAACGUCAAUUCCUCGCAAACACGGACCUGCUAUAGCAGGUUAUGAGACGGCUCUGAAAAAGUUCUUUGAGAACGUUUUACAGGCUUUCCUGAAGCAUGUUGACUUUAAUGUAGUACGAUGUGCUGUUAUUGCCAGUCCAGGCUUCACAAAGGAUCAAUUUCAUAAGCAUCUAUUAUUGGAGGCAGAGAGAAGGCAGUUGAGGCCUAUCAUAGAGAACAAAUCGCGGAUAAUGCUUGUUCAUACAAGCUCGGGAUACAAGCAUAGUUUAAGAGAGGUUUUGGAUGCCCCAAAUGUCAUGAAUAUGAUAAAAGACACUAAAGCAGCUCAAGAGGUCAGAGCUCUCAAGGAUUUCUUUGACAUGCUUUCAAAUGUCAGGACCCGGCCCGGGCAUGCUAUGGACCUAAGCAUGUGGAGGUUGCCCAUGAUAGAAUGGCUGUCCAGACACUCCUCAUCACUGACGAUCUCUUCAGAAAUGCCGAUGUAGAGAUGAGGCAAAAGUACGUCAAUUUGGUCAACUCAGUGAAGGAUUCAGGAGGCACUGCUCAUAUAUUUUCAUCCAUGCAUGUGUCGGGAGAACAACUUGCACAGUUGACUGGGAUUGCAGCCAUUCUUCGCUUCCCUCUACCUGACCUCGAAGAUAUAGAGAUGUGAUCCUGUCAUUGCGAUAAACUCGGAGGAAGACACUACAUAAGACGAGGAAGAUGCAACUUGUGUACAUAGUCUGUCGUCAGUUUCUGAGGGAAGACACAAUAAAAGAAGAUUUUUGUCAAAAGUUGUUCUAAUUAUGAACAGAAUGAGGAAUUUGCAUUGUAGCAAUCCUCUGGCCAUGUGUUUUGUGUAUCAAAGGAUGUGGCUUAUUGUGCCAUGUGAUGGUUGUGGCAUUGCAUGUCUCAUUCUCUUGGAUAAAUCACCAGUUAUUCGUCGUAACUUUCAUAAUA
Molecule: RNA transcript, 1516 nt
Organism: Rhodamnia argentea
Lineage: Eukaryota; Viridiplantae; Streptophyta; Magnoliopsida; Myrtales; Myrtaceae
Gene name: protein PELOTA 1
Exons: 16
Source: RefSeq, a predicted model, not a curated record